This 529-nucleotide long non-coding RNA is filed under the name Mytilus galloprovincialis (Mediterranean mussel). The record is from RNAcentral. Lineage: Eukaryota; Metazoa; Mollusca; Bivalvia; Mytilida; Mytilidae.
GCUCUUGAUAAAAACCAGUACAUUACAGCAGUAUUAAUGGAUCUUUCUAAGGCUUUUGACUGCCUGCCUCACAAUAUUAUGCUAGAUAAAUUAUCAGCAUAUGGUUUAACCCCCCAAUGCAGUUGCUCUUUUAAAGUCCUAUUUAUCAAAUCGAAAACAGCAAAUUAAAGUCAACAAUGUUCUGAGUGGUUGGGCUGACAUCCAUAAAGGCGUACCGCAGGGUUCGAUACUAGGGCCAUUGUUGUUUAACAUAUUUAUAAAUGAUAUUUUUUUUUUUGUUAAAAAUGGUACUUUAUAUAACUAUGCAGAUGAUAAUACUUUGUCUUUUUGUACUCCAGAUUUCGAUUUAUUAAUUUCAACUUUGGAAUCUGAUUCAAAAAUACUUAUUGAGUGGUUCAGGGUGAAUAAAAUUCAAGCAAAUCCCGACAAAUUUCAAGUUGGCAAAAAGACCUUUGAAAAGAACCCAUCUAUACAUAUUCAAAAUUCGAACCUUACAUGUGAAAAAAAACAGUAAAAUUAUUAGGCAUUG